GUCAGGGGCAAGGGCACAUUGCACACACAAAACCAAGUGUAGUGGUUUUAAAGAUAAACUGUCUCUUUGGAGACAUUGUUGAGGAGGGUAGACGUGAGAGAGGUGGGUUUUGGGGAGUUGGGGUUUUGCUGGCUGGGUGCCACCCAUCUACUAGGUUGGUUAUUCAAUUUGUUAAAAUAUUUAGGUUUUUAUUCAUAAAUUUAAUCUCGUGCAUUACUGUAUAAAUUUGCCAAAAUCCAAGUCG
This 244-nucleotide unclassified non-coding RNA is filed under the name Hevea brasiliensis (rubber tree). Lineage: Eukaryota; Viridiplantae; Streptophyta; Magnoliopsida; Malpighiales; Euphorbiaceae. The record is from RNAcentral.